Molecule: long non-coding RNA, 2143 nt
Organism: Equus caballus (horse)
Lineage: Eukaryota; Metazoa; Chordata; Mammalia; Perissodactyla; Equidae
Source: RefSeq, a predicted model, not a curated record
UAGGAAGCCGCAGGCUGCAGCUCACUCGCCCGGGGCUGGCCGCCCAUCCCCCAACCGGCCGAGCCGGGGAGGGGGCAGUCACUAACGCCCGGCUCGCCUGCGUCGGCGUGGUUACCCGGCCUCCAAGGCGCUGCCCUGGGCUGGCCGGACCUGCUCUCUUUCCCGGCCUCAAGGAGCUUUUGAAUCUGAGAAGGAAGCAGCUGGGGGCACGGUGCCGGCAGACUGGGGCGCACGCCACGGACAUCGUCAGUCACUGAGGCUGGCGUUAGAGCAGAGAUGAGAGACUAGAGGAGAAAGGAAACUCGCACAGAGCGGAUGCCCACGCCGGAAAGGCUCUGGCUGACUCUCGCGGGGCAGGCAUCUUGGUCCUCGUUUUACAGAUGAGCAAACCAAAGCUUGGAGGAGUCCACUCAUUUCUGAAUCCAGCAGUUAUUAAAGCAUCUACUUUGUGCCAGGCCCUGGCUGGGCUCUGGGGAGACCACCAUGAAUAAGACGCAGACAGCUCCCCUUUGGGUGGGGAGACCCAAAACUAGUGUGGUGACUAGGGGGAGACCUGUCCUGAUCUGAGGGUUCAGGGAGACUUCCCAGGGGAAGUGUGGUGCCAGCGAAGCCCUGACGGAUAGAAGGAGGCCCAGCAUAAGGAGUCACACCCAACUGAACUUCAGCCGACAGAGGUCCACCUGCCAGAAUGCCGAAGGGCCUAUUUCUGCCAAAGCUGCAGGAUCAGGCCUCGGGGCUGGGCAUGGAGCCCUGGUGACCUCACUGCUGGAGCAGGAUUAGAAAUGGCUGCAGCUGUGAGGAAGGGGCUGUAGAGGUCUUCAGGACGGGUUGGCAGGGACACUGCCACAAAGUCCUUUUGCUCCCUCUCUUGGGCCCUGCCUAAGGCUGGGAAGAUGGAGAAGAGGAGAGAUGAGUAACCAGGAGAGAGCCAAUGAGAUGGGCCGGCAGCACCGGAUGAUCCAUGGGGCCAUGAGCAGGAGGGGAGCGGGAGGCCUACUCAGCAUUUUCAGCUGUUCCCUGGACCCUCCCUGCCAUCUGGACGCCUCCACUAGGGGAUGUGCUGCUGGCACGGGGAGAGAUGUAAGAGACAGAGGCCAAAGAAACUGAGCUGGAGGCUCCAGUGACCCAGGAAUAUGGAGACCCCCUUUCCCCCUUCAGGGCCUAAGUCUGUGGAUGCUGACCAUCCCCACCCCACCCCACCCCCAGUACCUACAACUGGGAAUUCUUCUCUUUGGCUGACAGUGCUGGUGGGCUCUCUGUCUCUGCCGUGGAAUCAAGUCUUAGACAACCCUCUCUCCACACCCUCCAUACCCUUCCUUGGUUCAUGGUGUGUUCAGAAGGAGUAUCUUUGGAAAGAGGCCUGGUUCUGAAUCCCAAGCCUGCCAUUUACUAGCUAGAGACGCAGAGCAAGUCCCUUCUGCCUUCUGAGUCUCCUUUUGCCCAAAUGGAUGUACUUCUCAGGGUUGUCACGAGGAUUAAAAGAGAGAACUUACAGAAAGCCUAACACACACUAAUACUCAAUGAACAGUGACUCCCUUCUCCCUUCUGGGUGUCCUCCCCAGGGCGGUUGUCCCAGAGGCGCACAAGAAUGAGCCUUCUCUCUUGAAUCAAUAGGAAACGGCCCACGUAUAUCUCCAUCUCCUCCUCACUGAGGUCAUCGCGUGCCUGCAGACACUGCAGAGAAGUUUCCUCAGCUCUCCCUUUCUCUCUCUUUGUAUAAUCCAUCCCUUCCAUCAAUCUUCACUGAGCACCUCCUACGCCCAGGCGCUGUGCGGGCUCAGUGGGGAGCCAGGGUGAAGGGGAGGGCCUGCCUUCCCUGGACCUGCGGGGGGAGUGCAGUCACAGCGGGUGGAAUGGAGCGUUCUUUCUGCCACCAGGAAAUCGCUUCCUUAUUCCCCAGGAGUUCUAGGUACUGUAGGGCUGAGAGAACAAAUGUUGGCAAAGACAGAGGUUUACUCCACACCCGUUGCUUCUGAGAAACUGCUGCCUGGGGCAGGAUGCUCCCUGGAAGAACAGUGGCUCUCCCUGUGCAGGGAGGAGAGGCGUGGGCAGCUCAGAGUGGAGGGGCAGUCACCUCUGCCUUCCCAGAAACCAGCGCCCUCACUCCUGCUACCGACAGAAUAAAGUCCAAACUCUAGCCUUG